This is a long non-coding RNA of Fukomys damarensis (Damara mole-rat), 732 nucleotides long. RefSeq lists it as uncharacterized. The record is from RefSeq and is a predicted model, not a curated record. Lineage: Eukaryota; Metazoa; Chordata; Mammalia; Rodentia; Bathyergidae. The transcript has 4 exons.
GUGAAUUAGUUACACAGAAAAAUGAAAUGUGAAUUUCCAAAGGAAGAAUGAGUGAAAUAUUUAAUACAGGUACCUGUGUAAAACUGCAACUACCCUCCUCCAAGAAAAGAAACACUGUGAUGGAAAAACUUUCUGCUUACAUUUCUACUAAAGAAAAAACACGAGACCAUCAAAUCAGCACUCUGCAUUUGCUUUCCUAAGAUCACAAAAUUUUGUCGUGAUGCUAUAAACUACCCAAUAUCCUGCAGAUGAAGAGUCAAUGGACAAAUUUAAUUGAAGGCCUGUGACAUAAAAGACACCUGAUGUAUAUUUGCACAGAACAUGAAUGCACAAGCUGAUUGUUGUAAUGAGCUUCUGUGACCAAUGAACUUCAUUUCAAGGCCCACGAUGAAAGCUGCAGACACUGAGGCUCAGGUUAUUGUUUCAUGCUCUGCCAUCUGACAAGAGAACCUCUACCUGAAUAUUCAAGAUCCCACAAUACAGACAUAUGCGAAGCCAAUCCACAGCUUUGAUUUCAGACAACGGAUCUGGAAUGAGCCGAAUCAAUCAAGAACUGACUCACACAUAUGUGAAUGGGAAAAAAAUCCUUACUCUAAGCUAUUCAGUGUUUUAAAUGUUUGCAGUAAUGUUACACAUAAGUUCCUAAUGAGCAAAUAUGUCACUGUAGAAAUUAAGGCCAUCUGUUGAAAUUAUGCAGUGGUUAUGUACAUCUAUGUGACAUGUAAAUUAUGU